UGGUGGAGUGAUUUGUCUGGUUAAUUCCGUUAACGAACGAGACCUCGACCUGCUAAAUAGUACGGCACGCCCUUCGGGCGUGGCCGAGACUUCUUAGAGGGACUAUCGGUUGUGAGCCGGUGGAAGUUCGAGGCAAUAACA
This 141-nucleotide ribosomal RNA is filed under the name uncultured eukaryote. Its description in RNAcentral is "partial 18S ribosomal RNA". It matches the Rfam family "Eukaryotic small subunit ribosomal RNA", at positions 1299 to 1458 of the family's 1831-position model. The record is from RNAcentral.